CCAAAAACAUAGCCCUCAAAACAAUUGAAGGUGAAACCUGCCCAAUGAUUUAAUACACUAAAUUUAAAAAUUUAAUAAAAAAAAAUUAAAUGGCUGCAGUAACUAUGACUGUAAAAAUGUAGCAUAAUAAUUCGCCACUUAAUUAGUGGAUAGUAUGAACGGUUUAACGAAAAUUCCACUGUCUUAUAUAAUAAAAAAAAAAUUUAAAUCAUAGUUAAGCUGCUAUGUAAAACUGUAAGACGAAAAGACCCUAUAAAGCUUAACUAUAUUUCUUAAUAAUUUAAUAAAAAAAAAACUUAAAAUAAUUAUUUAUUAAGAUUUGGUAGUUUCAUUGGGGCGAUGAUCUCUAAAAAUAAACAGAGAUAAACCUAUAUAAUAAUAAAAUUUACUGUAUAAUUAAUAAAUUUAACAGUUACAAAGUAGGGUAUAAUGACCCAUUAAUUUUAUAAAAAGAAUUAAUGAUCAAUAAAUAAAAGCUACUUUAGGGAUAACAGGAUAAUAAUUUCUUAGAGACCCAAUCGAAGAAAAAGUUUAUCACCUCGAUGUUGAAUUAAGAUAACCUAAUGACGCAGCAGUAAUUAAAGGUAGGUC
This 591-nucleotide ribosomal RNA is filed under the name Lytocarpia phyteuma. Its description in RNAcentral is "partial large subunit ribosomal RNA". It matches the Rfam family "Bacterial large subunit ribosomal RNA", at positions 1807 to 2577 of the family's 2925-position model. Lineage: Eukaryota; Metazoa; Cnidaria; Hydrozoa; Leptothecata; Aglaopheniidae. The record is from RNAcentral.